AUCCAACGUCAAGAACAAUGA
RNAcentral lists this unclassified non-coding RNA (21 nucleotides) under Dictyostelium discoideum. The record is from RNAcentral. Lineage: Eukaryota; Evosea; Eumycetozoa; Dictyosteliales; Dictyosteliaceae.